UACGGAGGGUGCAAGCGUUGUUCGGAAUCACUGGGCGUAAAGCGCGUGUAGGCGGCUUUUUAAGUCUGAUGUGAAAGCCCUGGGCUUAACCCAGGAAGUGCAUUGGAUACUGGGUAGCUCGAGUACCGGAGAGGAGGGUGGAAUUCCUGGUGUAGCGGUGAAAUGCGUAGAUAUCAGGAGGAACACCGGUGGCGAAGGCGUCCCUCUGGCCGGAUACUGACGCUGAGACGCGAAAGCGUGGGGAGCAAACAGG
Molecule: ribosomal RNA, 253 nt
Filed under: uncultured bacterium
Lineage: Bacteria
Description: partial 16S ribosomal RNA
Rfam family: Bacterial small subunit ribosomal RNA
Source: RNAcentral